CCUACGGGUGGCAGCAGUGGGGGAUAUUGCACAAUGGGGGAAACCCUGAUGCAGCGACGCCGCGUGUGGGAAGACGGUUCUCGGGAUUGUAAACCACUGUCCCCAGGGACGAAUAUAACGGUACCGGGGGAGGAAGCUCCGGCAAACCACGUGCCAGCCGCGGCGGUAUUACGUAGGGGGCGUGCGUUGUCCGGAAUUACUGGGGGAAAAGUGUGCGUAGGCGGGACUGCACGUUGGGUGUAAAAUCUACCGGCUAAACCGGUCGCCGCACUGGAAACUGCAGUUCUUGAGUGAAGGAGAGGCAAGCGGAAUUCCUAGUGUAGCGGUGAAAUGCGUAGAUAUUAGGAGGAACACCAGUGGCGAAGGCGGCCUGCUGGGCUUUUACUGACGCUGAGGCUCGAAAGCGUGGGGAGCAAAAAGGAGUAGAUACCCGAGUAGUC
This 440-nucleotide ribosomal RNA is filed under the name uncultured bacterium. Its description in RNAcentral is "partial 16S ribosomal RNA". It matches the Rfam family "Bacterial small subunit ribosomal RNA", at positions 338 to 795 of the family's 1533-position model. The record is from RNAcentral.